CCUACGGGUGGCAGCAGUGGGGAAUAUUGGUCAAUGGGCGAAAGCCUGACCCAGCAAUGCCGCGUGAAUGAAGAAGGUCUUAGGAUUGUAAAAUUCUGUCCUAUGGGAAGAAAAAAAUCACGGUACCAUAGGAGGAAGCCCCGCCUAACUACGUACCAGCAGCCGGGGUAAUACGGAGGGGGCGAGCGUUGUCCGGAAUUACUGGGCGUAAAGAGAGCGUAGGCGGCACUACAAGUGUCAGGUGAAAUACCCGGGCUUAACUUGGGGAGUGCAUGGGAAACUGUAGAGCUUGAGUACAGGAGAGGCAAGCGGAAUGCGUGGUGUAGCGGUGAAAUGCAUAGAUAUUAGGCAGAACACCAGUGGCGAAGGCGGCUUGCUGGACUGAAACUGACGCUGAGGCUCGAAAGCGUGGGGAGCAAACAGGAUUAGAUACCCCUGUAGUC
RNAcentral lists this ribosomal RNA (443 nucleotides) under uncultured bacterium. RNAcentral's name for it is "partial 16S ribosomal RNA". It matches the Rfam family "Bacterial small subunit ribosomal RNA", at positions 338 to 795 of the family's 1533-position model. The record is from RNAcentral.